This 757-nucleotide small RNA is filed under the name Oryza sativa Japonica Group (Japanese rice). RNAcentral describes it as "sRNA Os10g0411650". The record is from RNAcentral. Lineage: Eukaryota; Viridiplantae; Streptophyta; Magnoliopsida; Poales; Poaceae.
CCGGGGUGACAGGCUGACCUCCUCCAAUGCUCGGAACUGGAGCUCCGAUGGGUAGUCGCGAACGCACCCGAUCCGAGGACCUGCUCCAGUGCUCCAUUGGAAGGACAGUUGCUUCCCCAGCUGGUAUGACUUCGUGGCCUUCUUGCAGUUGAUACGGUUCAUGAUCAUCUCCUCUGGUACUUCCACCAGCUCAUCUUCUUCAUUGCCUUCCUCUGCAAACAGGUUCUUCUUGCAGAAGGCGAGGCACUCUCCGAACAUGGUGGAAUCCUCGUCGAUGUCCUUGUGAACCGGUGAUGGCCUUCCGUUGCAAUGUGUUGCGGGUAGUUCUGUGUUGUUGGAACUGAUCAGCAGCCUCGGAGGCCGCUUCCCUUGCAGCUUGUUGGCUGAGGUGGAUUUCCUGAUUGCCGGUGUGCUCGCCAUGGUUUCGGUGGAUGUCAUGGUGGGUGCAUCACUGCUGGUCUUGGUUUCGUCAGCGCCAUGGUGUUGUGUGACUUGCUGAAUUCGGCAUCAUCUUCACCUUCCGAAGGGUUCAACUGUAGCAAAACCGAAACACGGCACACCAAUCAGUUCAAAGGAAAACUCUAUUCAGUAUCUAUAAUUUCCUGCAGAUGAAUUGUGAUAUUAUUCACACUUCGGUUCUCACCAUAACAUCAGUCAGAUCCACAUUUCUCUCCUUCAGGAAAUUCAUGAACUCCUGAAAGUUCUGCUCUGUUGGCCGGUAAUGCCCACUGUGAGGCCAGACUGCCUGAAACAAACA